AUACGGGGGGUGCAAGCGUUAUUCGGAAUCAUUGGGCGUAAAGGGCACGCAGGCGGCCUGGUAAGUCAGAUGUGAAAGCCCGGGGCUUAACCCCGGAAGGGCAUUUGAAACUAUCAGGCUUGAGUAUGGGAGAGGGAAGUGGAAUUCCUGGUGUAGAGGUGAAAUUCGUAGAUAUCAGGAGGAACACCGGUGGCGAAGGCGACUUCCUGGACCAAUACUGACGCUGAGGUGCGAAGGCGUGGGGAGCAAACAGGAUUAGAAACCCGGGUAGUCC
RNAcentral lists this ribosomal RNA (274 nucleotides) under uncultured bacterium. RNAcentral describes it as "partial 16S ribosomal RNA". It matches the Rfam family "Bacterial small subunit ribosomal RNA", at positions 523 to 796 of the family's 1533-position model. The record is from RNAcentral.